UCUUGCAUCUAUAGCCAACCUAAGGUUGCAACUAACUAACGAGUCUAGUUCUGACAUGAAUGGUGGUCGGUAUUUUGUUUACCUUAAGAUGAAAAUGAAACAAAAACAUAUGUUGGAAUUUCACUUGUUUUUCAGUGAGUGACUUCUUUGAUGAAUCAGAUAAUAGUUGUCAGAUACUGUGCGACAGUUUCCUCAAUUUUCUGCACUACCUGUGAUGACGCACUUUUAAGUUUAAUUAGCAUAUUCACAUUUUUUCCAUCACUUUAAGUCUAGACAAUCACAAAAUAAUAAAUUAAGCCUUGACUGUAACAUUCCCAAUUUCCAUGGUAUAAAUAUUCCCACCACAUCAGAUUUCCAGCCACCAACAUGAUGUCCUGAAGGUGGAGCUGGGAAGAGACACGCAGGCGCGCAACCGUUAGUGUUUCUGCCACCCAGAUACUGCAGACGUAAGCAAUCGCAAGAGCACAGAGGAUGGCCAAAUAUGAACUAAUUAGGAAAGGAUGAGUUUUGAGUAUUCACUAUGUUAAAAAUUUUUAGUUUUAAGUUUAUAUACAUAAAAAUUCCCUCUUUUUGGUGUACAGUUCUGUGAGUUUUGACAAAUGCUUAGAGUUGUGCAACCACCACCACAAUCAAGAGACAGAACAGUUCCCGUGUGCCAUCCCAAUGUGGUGCAAACAUCCCUCUAUCCUAAGUCCUGAUAAAACUCUUUCCCUAUGGUUUUGCCUUUUCCAGAAUGUCAUAUAAAUGGAAUCAUACAGUGUGUAGUCUUUUGAGUCUGCCGUCUUUCGAUGAGGAUAAUGCAUUUGAGAUGCAUGCCUGUGGCUGUGUAUCAACAGCACAUCCCUUUCCGCUGCAGAGCAGUACCGCAUUGCACGGGUGCACCACAGUUGGUCUAUCCAUUCCCCAGAUGAGGGGCAUUUGAUGUUUCUAGUUGUUUCUUUUUUAAUAGGAAAAGUUGAUAUAAGCAUUCGUGUACAAGUUUGUGUGCACAUAGAUUUUCGUUUAUCUCAGGUAAAUACUUAGGAGUGAGAUUGGUAUGUUGUGUGGUAAAUGUAUGUUGAACUUUAUAAGAAACUUACCAACCUGUGUUCCACAGUGGCUGCAUCACUUUGCAUUCCCACCACAACGUAUGACAGUUCCAGUUGCCCUGCAUCCUCCUCAGCACAUAGUAUUGUCAAGGUUUUUUUUUUUAGCCAUUUUAGUAAGUAUAUAAAAGUGUCUUGUUCUACUUUGAAUUUCCCUAACAACUAAUGAUGCUGAGCAUCUUUUCACAUGCUUAUCUGUCAUCUGUAUAUCUUCUUUGGUGAAAUGUCUUUUCAAAUCUUUUGCCUAUUUUUUUUUAUUGGGUUGACUAUUGUCUUGUUGAUGACUUUUAAGAAUUCUUCAUAUAUUCUGGAUGCAAGUCUUUUGACAGAUAAGUGAUUUGCAAAUAUUUUCUCCCUGUUUUUGGCUUGUCUUUUUUUAUUAAUUUCUUUCACAGAACAAGUUUUUAUUUUUGAUGUAGUCCUGUUUAUCAAUUUUUUACUUUAUGAAUUGCACAUUUUGUGUUGAAUCUAAGAACUCUUUGCCUAAGUCAAGGUCACAAAGACUUCUUUCCUGUUUUCUUCUAAAGGUUUGAUCAUUUUUCAUUUAGGUCUGUGAUUUAUAUUGAGUUAAAUCGGGUGUAAGAUGACAGGUGUAGGCCAAGGUUCAUUUUUAAAAUGCGGCUGUCCAGUUGUUGCAGCACCAUUCAUUGAAAAGACAAUCCUUUCUCUACUGAAGCGCCUUCACACAUUUUGUCAAAAAUCAAUUAACCAUAUUUGCAUGGGUCUACUUCUGAACUCUGUUGUGAUUCACUGAUCUAUGUGUCUAUUCUUUGACCAAUGCCACACUCUCUUGAGUGCUAUUGCUUUGUAGCAAGUCUUAAACUCAGCUGAUGGGAGUCCUCCAACUUCGUCCCUCUCUUUCAAGAUCGUUUUAGCUAUUCCAGUUCCUUUGCAUUUCCAUAUACAUUUCCAGAUCAGACUCUUGAUAUCUAACAAAUUCCUGAUAGGACUGCAUUGAAUCUAUAGGCCAAUUUUUGGGAGACUGAUAUCUUAACACUAGUUAGUCUUCCAACCCAUAAACUCAGUCGGUCUCUCCAUUUAUUUAGAUUUUUUCUUUUAACAGUGUUUUGUAGUUUUCACCAUAAAAAUCCUGUACAAAUUUUGCCAGAUUUAUACAUAUUUCAUUUGUUUCAGUGCUAUUGUAUAUGGUAUUUUUAAAAUUUCCUUUCCAGUUGUUCAUUGCUAGCAUAUAGAAAUACAAUUGAUUUUUGAACAUUGACUUUCUAUCUUGUGACCUUGCUGAUAAACUCAUUGCUAGUUCUAGGAGAUUUUUAUACAUUCCAUGGGAUUUUCUACAUCAACAAUUGUGUCAUCUGCAAAGAGAGAGAAUUCUUUCUUUUUUUUCAAUGUGUAUGCCUUUUAUUUCAUUUUCAUGCCUUACUGAGCUGCCCAGGACUUCUGGCACAAUAUUGAAAAGGAGAGGUGAGAGUGGCAUUCUUGACUUGUUCCCAAUCUUAGGAAAAAGUCCGUCUUUGACCUGUUAAGUUUGAUGUUUGUUGUAGGUUUUUAUGUAGUUUUCCUUUAUCAGGUUAAGGAAGCUCCCUUCUAUUCCUAAUUCGCUGAGAGUUUUUAUUACAAAUGGAUAUUGAAGUUUGUCAAAUGUGUUUUCCACAUCUAUUGAGAUGAUCAUGUGGCUUUUUCUUUAGUCUGUUAAUAUGGUGAAUUCAGUUGAACUAGCCUUGCAUUCCCAGGAUAGACCCCAUUUGGUGGUGAUGUAUUAUCCUUUUAUAUGUAUCCUUUUCUAUAUUGCUACAUUUGAUUUGCUAAUAUUCUGUUGAGGAGUUCUGCAUUGAGGAUUUUGGUAGGGACCUUAGAAAAAUCUGAAGUCCUUACCACAGCCCCCAGGAUCUCCCCUCCUCAAUCUCCCAACCUCAUCGCUUAUGAGGGAUAUUGGUCUGUAGAGUUUUUUCUUUUAAUAUAUUUGUCUGGUGUUGGUAUCAGAGUAAUGCUACCUAUGAAAUGAAUUUGGAAGUGCUUUCUUCUAUUUUCAGGAAGAGAUUGUGUAGAUUUGGUAUUAUUUGGUGCAAUUUGGCAGUGAAACCAUCUGGGCCUGGAGUUUUCUUUGUGGGAAGAUUUUAAGCUAAGAAUUCAAUUUCUUUAAUAGAUAUAGGACUACACAGGCUAUCUAUUUAUUCUUGAGUGAGUUUUGGUAGUUUGUGUUUGUGGGAGCAGAAUAACGGCUCCCCAAGGACAUUACAUACUCCUCCCUGGAACCUGUGACCAUUUACCAUAACCAUAACCACAUAACCAUUGUUAUGUUGUGUGGCAAAAAGAAAUUAAGGUUGCAGAUGGAAUUAAGGUUGCUAAUUGGCUGAUUUUAAAAUAGGGAGAAUAUCCUGGAUUAUCCAGGUGGGCCCAAUGUAAUCACAAGGGGCCUUACAGUGGAAAAGGGAGGUAGAAGAGUAAGUCAGAGUGAGGUCAUCUGAGAACUUGACUUGGUUUUGUUAGCUUUGAAGAUGGAGAAAGGGUCCACAAAUCAAGGAAUGCAGGCAACCUCUAGGAGCUGGAAAAGGCAAGGAAGUGGAUCCUGCUCAGAGCCCAUAGGAAGGAAUGCAGCCCUGUGGAUGACUUUGAUUUUUGCCCUGUGAGAACUGCAUCAGACUUCUGACCUACUGAACUGUAAGAUCAUAAAUCCAGGUUGAAAUAAGGCACAAGUUCAUGGUAAUUUUUUAUAGCAAGCAAUAGAAAACUAAUGCAGUGAAAGACAACUGUUUUCCAAAGAAUUGAUCUGUCAUUUCUUCUAAGUUGUCAAAUUUAUGGACCUAGAGUCGUUCUUAGUAUUCACUUAUGAUCCUGUUAGUGCUUGUAGACUCUAUAGUGAUAUCCCCUCUUUAAUUCCUGAUAUUGGUAAUUCGUGUCUUCUUUUUUCAAUGAAUCAUCUUUUCAUUAAUUUUCUCUAAUUUUUCUGUCUUAAAUUUUAUUGAUUUCUGCUGUUAUCUUUAUUAUUUCCUUUUCUUUUGCUUUACUUGGGUGUAAUUUGCUCUUGCUAGUUUUUAAAAAUUACCUUUGCUUUUUUUUUUUUUAAAGAUUAGCACCUGAGCUAAAAUCUGUUGCCAAUCUUUUUUUUUCUUCCUCUUCUUCUCCCCAAAGCCCCCCAGUACAUGGUUGUAUAUUCUAGUUGUAAGCGCCUCUGGUUGUGCUAUGUGUGACGCCACCUCAACAUGACCUGAUGAGCGGUGCCCUGUGCCCAGGAUCCAAACCAGCGAAACCCUGGGCCGCCGAAGCAGAGUGUGCAAACUUUACCACUUUGCCACGGGGCUGGCCCCACCUUUGCUUUACUAACAUAUUAUUUAACUGUAAGUUUAUAUAAUUCGGUUUUUAAUAAUGGCUGUGUUUAACGGCUAGCUCGCAAUGUUCCUGAUACCCACACGGCUUACACACUAUGAGCUGGCUCCUGCACACACUGCUUCCAUGUUUCUCUCUUCACACGUGGCCUCUUCCUUAGGCUCCAGACUCUAUCUCCACUGUCUACUCAACAACCCUACUUGAUGGUCACUUGAUAUCUCAACAUAAACAUGUCCAAAAACAAUGUCCACACAAAGUCUCAAUCUUUUUUCCCUACUCUUCUCUCUUCCCACUUUUGUAUACAGCACCUCCACACACCCAUGUGCUCAAGCGGCCAAGUGAGACUUCAUCCUUGACUCUUCUUUCCUUCUAUGCCACAUGCUGUUGGUCCGCACGUCCUCUCAGCUCUAUCUUUAAAACAUAUCUGGACUCUGAGGACUUCACACCACCUUCUCUAUCAUCACCCUGGUUCAAACUGCAUCAGCUCUCACCUGGAUUCUGCAAUAGAUCCACACUGGGCUCCUGCUUCUGCCCUUGCCCCUGUUGCCUGUUCUCACCACAGCAACAAGGCUCUGGGAAGCCUUCCCUGACCUCCUCAACUUGGUCAGGGGCCUCCUCGGCUCCAACUGACCAAGGCCUCCCCCCAUCACAGUACAUGUCACGCUGCAACUGCUUCCCCUACCAGACUGUGAGCUCCCUGACAGCAGGGCCUAUGACUCACCAAUCUCAGAACCCUGGGGCCUAACAGAGUAAGUGCUCAAUAAAUACAAUUUAAAUAAAAGAAUGAACAAAUGAAUUAAUAAAAACCAGGCCUGCUGAG
Long non-coding RNA from Equus caballus (horse), 5190 nucleotides. The record is from Ensembl. Lineage: Eukaryota; Metazoa; Chordata; Mammalia; Perissodactyla; Equidae.